GCCAGCGUGGUGUAGUGGUUUGAACCUUGGACUAUGACUCUGGAGACCAGUGUUUGAUUCCUGGCUCUGCCA
Phrynosoma platyrhinos (Desert horned lizard) is the source of this 72-nucleotide non-coding RNA. The record is from the annotation of a GenBank genome assembly. NCBI's taxonomy places the organism in Eukaryota, Metazoa, Chordata, Lepidosauria, Squamata, Phrynosomatidae.